GAGACUCCCCUUCACCUAGAAAAGAAUAUCACUCUUUACUUAGAAAAUGGUCUGGACCCUUGGGCCUUAGACUCUUGGGCUUUGUACCACAGGCCUUGGGCCAUCUUCACUUUAUCUUUAGGUCUAAUCCCCUUGUAUAAAUGUAAACAAACAUUAUCAUAAUGAGAACAUCAUUCUUCAUGGACGUAGCUCAUUAUUUGGGUGAACCACAUACACUGUGUCUUCUGCAUGCUUAUUUGCUUUACUUACGCUGAAUGUCAUUGACUGCCGAAGACAAUAACUUGUCGAAGGCACAUAUACAUGUUGAAGGCCCACGUCUUCACACAUCAUCUACCACUCCACAUCUAUCUAAGUUGAACUCUAUUUUGAGCGUCAAUAGUACCAUCAUGCGAAUUUAAGGAUUACCAUUAUUCUUACAAGUGGCGGAGUUAUGUGAAGGACUGAAGGGGCCAGGGCCUCCCCUAAAAGUUUGACAAUAUUUCAUGUUUGGUCCUUUAUUCGUACAAAUUUUAGGAAGUAUAUAUAAUAAUUUUGCUUGUGGCCCCUCAUAAUAAAAAAAAGAUGUGUUUCUCUUUCCAAAUUAAGUAUAUAUAAUAAUCACCACUUGAUCAAAGGCUGUGAACAUUUCUAGAUCCACGCGUCAGGUUUUUCUAUUAAGUUUUUCAACUUAAUAAUGGCUUUGGUUUUUUAAAAGUGAAAUUUAAUGUACAUCAAUAUACUAAUAAAAAAUAAAUAGCAGCCAGUCAAAUAAAGUUUUAAAAAAUCUCUUUUAUCAAAUAGGAAGUAGACUUUUAC
Molecule: long non-coding RNA, 795 nt
Filed under: Prunus persica (peach)
Lineage: Eukaryota; Viridiplantae; Streptophyta; Magnoliopsida; Rosales; Rosaceae
Description: long non-coding RNA (PPER_LNC008010)
Source: RNAcentral